This 220-nucleotide non-coding RNA is filed under the name Roseobacter denitrificans. RNAcentral also lists the same sequence under 1 other name. Lineage: Bacteria; Pseudomonadati; Pseudomonadota; Alphaproteobacteria; Rhodobacterales; Roseobacteraceae. The record is from RNAcentral.
GGAAAGGGUUCUGGGGAUGGUGUUCGGAAAGCCAAAAGCAAUCCGGGCUGAAAAGGGAAUACGGUGCGGCGUUCGUAACAGACGCCAAGUCCGUGACUGCCCCCGCAACUGUAAGCGGUGAGCGACCCCGAUGAUCACCACUGGGUGCAUCCGCAUCCGGGAAGGAUCGGGCAAGCUGUGACCCGCAAGUCAGGAGACCUGCCAUCAUCGAUGUAACUUC